Molecule: ribosomal RNA, 428 nt
Filed under: uncultured bacterium
Lineage: Bacteria
Description: partial 16S ribosomal RNA
Rfam family: Bacterial small subunit ribosomal RNA
Source: RNAcentral
GUGGGGAAUAUUGGGCAAUGGGCGAAAGCCUGACCCAGCAACGCCGCGUGAAGGAAGAAGGCCUUCGGGUUGUAAACUUCUUUUAUGAGGGACGAAGGAAGUGACUGUACCUCAUGAAUAAGCCACGGCUAACUACGUGCCAGCAGCCGCGGUAAUACGUAGGUGGCAAGCGUUGUCCGGAUUUACUGGGUGUAAAGGGCGCGUAGGCGGACUGGCAAGUCAGAUGUGAAAUCCAUGAGCUCAACUCAUGAACUGCAUUUGAAACUGUUGGUCUUGAGUAUCGGAGAGGCAAGCGGAAUUCCUAGUGUAGCGGUGAAAUGCGUAGAUAUUAGGAGGAACACCAGUGGCGAAGGCGGCUUGCUGGACGACAACUGACGCUGAGGCGCGAAAGCGUGGGGAGCAAACAGGAUUAGAAACCCUUGUAGUCC